UACGUAGGUGGCAAGCGUUAUCCGGAUUUAUUGGGCGUAAAGAGAACGCAGGCGGUCUUUUAAGUCUGAUGUGAAAGCCUUCGGCUUAACCGGAGUAGUGCAUUGGAAACUGUGAGACUUGAGUGCAGAGGAGGAGAGUGGAACUCCAUGUGUAGCGGUGAAAUGCGUAGAUAUAUGGAAGAACACCAGUGGCGAAAGCGGCUCUCUGGUCUGUAACUGACGCUGAGGUUCGAAAGCGUGGGUAGCAAACAGG
RNAcentral lists this ribosomal RNA (253 nucleotides) under uncultured bacterium. RNAcentral describes it as "partial 16S ribosomal RNA". It matches the Rfam family "Bacterial small subunit ribosomal RNA", at positions 524 to 776 of the family's 1533-position model. The record is from RNAcentral.